CAGUCGCCGCGGUAACACGAAGGGGGCUAGCGUUGUUCGGAUUUACUGGGCGUAAAGCGCACGUAGGCGGAUUCUUAAGUCAGAGGUGAAAUCCCAAGGCUCAACCUUGGAAAUGCCUUUGAUACUGGGGAUCUUGAGUCCGGGAGAGGUGAGUGGAACUGCGAGUGUAGAGGUGAAAUUCGUAGAUAUUCGCAAGAACACCAGUGGCGAAGGCGGCUCACUGGCCCGGUACUGACGCUGAGGUGCGAAAGCGUGGGGAGCAAACAGGAUUAGAUACCCGAGUAGUCCCUGUCUCUUAUAC
This 301-nucleotide ribosomal RNA is filed under the name uncultured bacterium. RNAcentral describes it as "partial 16S ribosomal RNA". It matches the Rfam family "Bacterial small subunit ribosomal RNA", at positions 509 to 807 of the family's 1533-position model. The record is from RNAcentral.